Molecule: ribosomal RNA, 811 nt
Filed under: uncultured bacterium
Lineage: Bacteria
Description: bacterial SSU rRNA
Rfam family: Bacterial small subunit ribosomal RNA
Source: RNAcentral
UGUCAGGANCGUACCGUAUUGUGGGGGAUAACUANUCNAAAGAUUANCUAAUACCGCAUACGCCCUGAGGGGGAAAGUAGGGGAUCUUCGGACCUUACGCAGAACGAGCGGCCGAUAUCUGAUUAGCUAGUUGGUGGGGUAAAGGCCCACCAAGGCGACGAUCAGUAGCUGGUCUGAGAGGACGACCAGCCACACUGGAACUGAGACACGGUCCAGACUCCUACGGGAGGCAGCAGUGGGGAAUUUUGGACAAUGGGCGCAAGCCUGAUCCAGCCAUGCCGCGUGAGUGAAGAAGGCCUUCGGGUUGUAAAGCUCUUUCGCAAGGAAAGAAAACUUAUUCGCUAAUACCGAGUGAGGAUGACGGUACCUUGAUAAGAAGCACCGGCUAACUACGUGCCAGCAGCCGCGGUAAUACGUAGGGUGCGAGCGUUAAUCGGAAUUACUGGGCGUAAAGCGAGCGCAGGCGGUUUUGUAAGUCAGAUGUGAAAGCCCCGGGCUCAACCUGGGAACUGCGUUUGAAACUGCAAGGCUAGAGUAUGGGAGAGGGGGGUAGAAUUCCACGUGUAGCAGUGAAAUGCGUAGAGAUGUGGAGGAAUACCAAUGGCGAAGGCAGCCCCCUGGCCUAAUACUGACGCUCAUGCUCGAAAGCGUGGGGAGCAAACAGGAUUAGAUACCCUGGUAGUCCACGCCCUAAACGAUGUCUACUAGUUGUUGGUGGAGUAAAAUCCAUUAGUAACGCAGCUAACGCGUGAAGUAGACCGCCUGGGGAGUACGGUCGCAAGAUUAAAACUCAAAGGAAUUGACGGGGCCC